Nelumbo nucifera (sacred lotus) is the source of this 80-nucleotide non-coding RNA. Lineage: Eukaryota; Viridiplantae; Streptophyta; Magnoliopsida; Proteales; Nelumbonaceae. The record is from Rfam.
AGGAGCCGAAUGAAACCAAAGUUUCAUGUUCGGUUUUGAAUUAGAGACGUUAAAAAUAAUGAAUCAACGUCGACUAUAAC